AUUUAUAUGGAUAUGCUAGUGACCAAAAAUAACCAACAAAAUUUAAAAUAGAAGAAAAAUGUAACAUGCUACAUGAAAGGAGUUCUCAGGGCUGCCAACCUUACAGUAGAAGUUGAGUAGUAGUAUAUUUCUUCUACAUAG
This is a non-coding RNA of Myotis lucifugus (little brown bat), 141 nucleotides long. NCBI's taxonomy places the organism in Eukaryota, Metazoa, Chordata, Mammalia, Chiroptera, Vespertilionidae. The record is from Rfam.